This 484-nucleotide ribosomal RNA is filed under the name uncultured bacterium. Its description in RNAcentral is "partial 16S ribosomal RNA". It matches the Rfam family "Bacterial small subunit ribosomal RNA", at positions 30 to 507 of the family's 1533-position model. The record is from RNAcentral.
AUUGAACGCUGGCGGCAGGCCUAACACAUGCAAGUCGAGCGGAUGAAGGGAGCCUGCUCCUGGAUUCAGCGGCGGACGGGUGAGUAAUGCCUAGGAAUCUGCCUGGUAGUGGGGGAUAACGUCCGGAAACGGGCGCUAAUACCGCAUACGUCCUGAGGGAGAAAGUGGGGGAUCUUCGGACCUCACGCUAUCAGAUGAGCCUAGGUCGGAUUAGCUAGUUGGUGGGGUAAAGGCCUACCAAGGCGACGAUCCGUAACUGGUCUGAGAGGAUGAUCAGUCACACUGGAACUGAGACACGGUCCAGACUCCUACGGGAGGCAGCAGUGGGGAAUAUUGGACAAUGGGCGAAAGCCUGAUCCAGCCACGCCGCGUGUGUGAAGAAGGUCUUCGGAUUGUAAAGCACUUUAAGUUGGGAGGAAGGGCAGUAAGUUAAUACCUUGCUGUUUUGACGUUACCAACAGAAUAAGCACCGGCUAACUUCGUG